CAGCGAAAUGCGAUAAGUAAUGUGAAUUGCAGAAUUCCGCGAAUCAUCGAAUCUUUGAACGCACAUUGCGCCUUUUGGUAUUCCGAAAGGCAUGCCUGUUCGAGCGUCAUU
RNAcentral lists this ribosomal RNA (111 nucleotides) under Cryptodiscus foveolaris. RNAcentral describes it as "partial 5.8S ribosomal RNA". It matches the Rfam family "5.8S ribosomal RNA", at positions 46 to 154 of the family's 154-position model. From Rfam's summary of the family: 5.8S ribosomal RNA (5.8S rRNA) is a component of the large subunit of the eukaryotic ribosome. It is transcribed by RNA polymerase I as part of the 45S precursor that also contains 18S and 28S rRNA. Functionally, it is thought that 5.8S rRNA may be involved in ribosome translocation. The record is from RNAcentral. Lineage: Eukaryota; Fungi; Ascomycota; Lecanoromycetes; Ostropales; Stictidaceae.